This 490-nucleotide ribosomal RNA is filed under the name uncultured bacterium. RNAcentral describes it as "bacterial SSU rRNA". It matches the Rfam family "Bacterial small subunit ribosomal RNA", at positions 18 to 507 of the family's 1533-position model. The record is from RNAcentral.
CAUGGCUCAGGAUGAACGCUAGCGGCAGGCUUAACACAUGCAAGUCGAGGGGGUUAUAGUUCUUCGGAACUAGAGACCGGCGCACGGGUGCGUAACGCGUAUGCAAUCUACCUUUUACAGAGGGAUAGCCCAGAGAAAUUUGGAUUAAUACCUCAUAGUAUGUGAGAAUCGCAUGGUUUUCACAUUAAAGUUCCAACGGUAAAAGAUGAGCAUGCGUCCCAUUAGCUAGAUGGUAAGGUAACGGCUUACCAUGGCGACGAUGGGUAGGGGUCCUGAGAGGGAGAUCCCCCACACUGGUACUGAGACACGGACCAGACUCCUACGGGAGGCAGCAGUGAGGAAUAUUGGUCAAUGGACGCAAGUCUGAACCAGCCAUGCCGCGUGCAGGAUGACGGUCCUAUGGAUUGUAAACUGCUUUUGUACGAGAAGAAACACUCCUACGUGUAGGAGCUUGACGGUAUCGUAAGAAUAAGGAUCGGCUAACUCCGUG